AGGGAAUCUUCCGCAAUGGACGAAAGCCUGAUGCAGCAACGCCGCGUGGAGGAUGAAGGCCUUCGGGUUGUAAACUCUUGUCUUCUGGGACGAUAAUGACGGUACCAGAGGAGGAAGCCACGGCUAACUACGUGCCAGCAGCCGCGGUAAUACGUAGGUGGCAAGCGUUGUCCGGAUUUACUGGGCGUAAAGGAUGCGUAGGCGGAUAUUUAAGUGGGAUGUGAAAUACCCGAGCUCAACUUGGGUGCUGCAUUCCAAACUGGAUAUCUAGAGUGCGGGAGAGGAGAGUGGAAUUCCUAGUGUAGCGGUGAAAUGCGUAGAGAUUAGGAAGAACACCAGUGGCGAAGGCGACUCUCUGGACCGUAACUGACGCUGAGGCAUGAAAGCGUGGGGAGCAAAC
This 400-nucleotide ribosomal RNA is filed under the name uncultured bacterium. RNAcentral describes it as "bacterial SSU rRNA". It matches the Rfam family "Bacterial small subunit ribosomal RNA", at positions 356 to 773 of the family's 1533-position model. The record is from RNAcentral.